RNAcentral lists this ribosomal RNA (467 nucleotides) under uncultured bacterium. RNAcentral describes it as "partial 16S ribosomal RNA". It matches the Rfam family "Bacterial small subunit ribosomal RNA", at positions 28 to 506 of the family's 1533-position model. The record is from RNAcentral.
GACGAACGCUGGCGGCGUGCUUAACACAUGCAAGUCGAACGGAAAGGCCCUGCUUUUGUGGGGUGCUCGAGUGGCGAACGGGUGAGUAACACGUGAGUAACCUGCCCUUGACUUUGGGAUAACUUCAGGAAACUGGGGCUAAUACCGGAUAGGAGCUCCUGCUGCAUGGUGGGGGUUGGAAAGUUUCGGCGGUUGGGGAUGGACUCGCGGCUUAUCAGCUUGUUGGUGGGGUAGUGGCUUACCAAGGCUUUGACGGGUAGCCGGCCUGAGAGGGUGACCGGCCACAGGGGGACUGGGAAACGGCCCGGACGCAUUCGGGGGGAAGGGGUGGGGAAUAUGGCACAAGGGGCGGAGGCGGGAUGCAGCAACGCCGGGUGGGGGAGGACGGCCUUCGGGUGGGAAACGGCUUUCGCCUGUGACGAGGCGUGAUGGAGGGAAAUGGGUAAAGAAGAACGGCUUAACUAGGU